This is a long non-coding RNA of Peromyscus maniculatus bairdii (prairie deer mouse), 377 nucleotides long. RefSeq lists it as uncharacterized. The record is from RefSeq and is a predicted model, not a curated record. Lineage: Eukaryota; Metazoa; Chordata; Mammalia; Rodentia; Cricetidae.
AGAGCACAAGAAACAAGUGAAGUCUGCAUAGAUCCUGUUUCUGCUCCAUAGAUCCAACCUGUAAAAGAAAAUGGCUUUACAUACAUGUACAGGAAUAUUUUCUCCUUAGGAUCCUCAGUGGCCACACUUGACUUGGAUUCAGGCCCCAACUCAAAGGCAUUCCCUGGUAAACUGCAAGCUAUGCCAGUCAGAGAGGCAGGGAUCUUGGAAGAAUCGCAACGCUCACCAAGUCACAUAAUGAUUUACAUGUUAGCAUUUGUGUAAUUUACAUGUCAGCAUGUUUGUCCCUUAUACUGAUUACCCACCAGGGCCUAAACACAUGUCCAAGCCAUUAGCAAAUAGAGUUAAAGAUUACUUGAUGAGAACUAACACUAACA